AUUGAACGCUGGCGGCAUGCCUUACACAUGCAAGUCGAACGGCAGCAUAGAGAGCUUGCUCUCUGAUGGCGAGUGGCGAACGGGUGAGUAAAGCAUCGGAACGUACCGUGUAGUGGGGGAUAACGUAGCGAAAGUUACGCUAAUACCGCAUACGCACUGAGGUGGAAAGCAGGGGAUCGUAAGACCUUGCGCUAUACGAGCGGCCGAUGUCAGAUUAGCUAGUUGGUAGGGUAAAGGCCUACCAAGGCGACGAUCUGUAGCGGGUCUGAGAGGAUGAUCCGCCACACUGGGACUGAGACACGGCCCAGACUCCUACGGGAGGCAGCAGUGGGGAAUUUUGGACAAUGGGGGCAACCCUGAUCCAGCCAUGCCGCGUGAGUGAAGAAGGCCUUCGGGUUGUAAAGCUCUUUCGGCCGGGAAGAAAUCGCACAGGCUAAUACCCUGUGUGGAUGACGGUACCGGCAUAAGAAGCACCGGCUAACUACGUGCCAGCAGCCGCCGUAA
Molecule: ribosomal RNA, 504 nt
Filed under: uncultured bacterium
Lineage: Bacteria
Description: partial 16S ribosomal RNA
Rfam family: Bacterial small subunit ribosomal RNA
Source: RNAcentral